GCGGGGCGAGAGAUGGGAAUGACUUCAAAACUCUUAUCCAGAAGACAAAAAAAUAUCAAAAAGCAGAAGCUGGGUAGUAAUUCUCCUGCUUCACAAAACAUAUAAGAGACUGAAGCUAAUUAUGGUAAGAGGUUAGACAAACUUGCUUUCCACAAUAUUUGCCAAACUCAACUUUUCCUAAACAUAGCAGGAUAUAACACACAAAAAGGUGGAAGACUGCAAAGCUGCACAAGUGGCAAUAAGUAACGGAAUGGAGACAAGACCCUGCCCGAGUUUUGUUUCCAUUAUAGUCAACUAUUUGCACAAAAAACCAGGUGAGUCCAGGCAUCUGGACUCCACGGUCCAAGCGCUGGACAUAGAACAGGACCUUGUCCUCUUCUUUGCUUUCCUCCCUGUCUCUCAUGGAGGGAGGUCUAAUUCACACCUGUGUUCCCUUCUUGGCCUGUCUAAUCCCAUAUAUCCUUCACGGUGCUGCUUAGGCCCCAUUUCCCCAUGAAGUCUACCCAGAUGCUGUGAGUUCUUUAUAUUUUACGAGCGACACCCUCCAGGACAGUCAGCAUCCUCUCCUAAGAUCCCUUAUAAAAACAACAAUGCCUUCUAUAUUCCAGUAUGUAGCAAAGAGGAACAAGUAAGGAAACUGCUCUUGGCUCGAAGACAGGGCUUCACAAGCGGUUUAGAAUCUUCCCUGAGACUCUCCCUUCUCCUUGGGGUCCUAGAAAUCCCACCUUUGCUGCCAUCCUUGCUUCUAGCCCAGGAAUAAUGCAAAAUGACUAUGUUUUAUAGAGAGCUUUAGCGUUUACAAAAUGGUUUUACUUAUUUAAUCCCAUUUGACUCUUCGGUCAGUACUGAGACAGGUUAUCAACCCAUUUUACUCAUGAGAAAGGAAGAGUCAAAGAUUAUGGGACUUGACUAUAGUUCAACUCUAAUUCCAAAGUUCAUGCUCUUUUCAUCCUUUUGGUUCAGUAGUGGGCAAAAGCCCUCUUAUUUUUCUUGCUUAAUUUAUCUGAGAUAGGCUGGAAUUGUCAAAGGGAACUUGACUAAAAAGUAUGUAGCAAAUACAUAAUGAAAAUAUAAACAGCAUAAAAUGGGUAAGUUAAUGAAAAGGUAGGUUAACUGAGGUCUGAAUCUAGCUUCUUUAUCCCUGCCUCCAGGACCUGGCCCCCAAGGGCAUUUUUUCUUCCAGCUUUAUUAAGAUAUAAUUGACAUAUAACAUCGUGUAAGGUUUAAGGUGUGCCAUGUGUUGAUUUGACACACUUAUAUAUUGCAAAAUGAUUACCACUGUAGCAUGGGCUAACACCUCCAUUGCUUCACAUAAUUACCAUGUUUUUCUCUUUUGUGGUGAGAAUAUUUAGGAUCUACUCUCCUAGCAACUUUCAAGUAAAUAAUACAGGAUCCCAAGGGCAUUCUUAAGUUUCCCAGUGCCUCCACUUCCAGAAGGGGAGGGCUGGGCAAGAGCAAGAACUGCCAAGUAAUAAUGACUAAUAUUAAGUGAGCACUUAUUGUGUGCCAAGGCACCAUUCCGAGUUCUUUACUUAUAUUACCUCAUUUACUUUUUUCAAAAACUCUAGAGGUACAUGCAGUUAUUACCUCCAUUUUACAGUCAAAGGCAGAGAGAACUUCUAGAACUUGCCCAAGGUCAUGUAGCUGUUAGCAGGUGACAAGCCUUUUGGCUCCAGAGUCUGUGCUUCCAAUCACUAUACUUCACAAGCUCUAAGGGGCAUGUGAAAGGCCCCAGUAGACAGCAUGGGACUUAGAUGAAUAGACAGGAAUAGAAUUUCCAGGAGAGGAUUGAAGUUCACAGAGCAGCCAUUCAGUACUCUCUUUUUAUUGUCACUCCUCAUCUACUUAUACUGCUUUCUCACCAUUCCUUCUGUGUUGAUAUUUUGUCUCCAACUAGAUAAGAAGUUCCCUGAUGUCUGGGACAUACCUUGUGCUUCUCUGCUCCUACCCAGGACCUGGCAUAGCAUGAGCCCUUCAAUAAGACAGCUGUCUCCUGGAUGAUUUUCAGCAAAGAAUUUAUACUCACAAUGGCAACAAGUUCUGAUCCUAUAAGAAGUUGUGGCAAACCACAGUGAAGAGGAGAAUGGACUUCUUGGUUCAUAGAUUCAACAGGGAAGUAAGGGACAGAGGCAAGAAAUUAACAUAUACUAGCAUCUACCUUGCACCAAGCACCACACUGGGCAGGCUGCAUAAGACAUCUCAUUUAACUCUCAGUUUAAUUAACUCUGUGAGUUGGGCAUUGUUGCUAUGGUCUGAACGUUUGCAUCCCCCACCAAAUUCAUAUGUUGAAAUCCUAAUGCCUGAUGUGAUGGUAUUAUGAGGUGGAGCCUUUGGGAGGUGCUUAGGUCAUGAGGGUGGAGCCCUCAUGAAUAAGUUAGUGUUCUUAUAAAAGAGACCCCACAGAGAUCUCUAGCCCUUUCCACCAUGUGAGGGCACAGCGAGAAUGUGCUAUCUAUGAACCCAGAAGGAGGCCUUCACCAGAACUUGACUCCGCUGGUACCAUGAUCCUGGACUUCCAGCUCCAUAACUGGACAUCCAACUUAUUCACGUCAUUCCGGUUAAACAUGGCGGAGAGGGCAGACAGGCCUGGGAAUUGGUCCUGGUGCCAGCAAAGGGCAGGGGCAAAUGACCCGGGAAACUCAACAGACGGGAAAUAUCUUCAACAUCAGCUGUUCAGAGGCGAAGUGUUGCAUCAGUUGUCUCAAUCAGGAUUGACAAACUAUGGCCUGAGUGCCAAAUCUGGCCCUGUUUCUGUCAAUAAAGUUUUAUCGGGCCACAGCCACACCCAUGCAUAUACUUAUUGUCUAUGGCUGCUGUACAACUGAGUUGAGUCUUUGCCACAGAGACCUUAUGGCCCUCAAUGCCUGAUGUAUCUCCUAUUUGGCCUUUUACAAAAAAAGUUUGCCCAACCCUGGUCUAGAGUAGGGGCCUCGGGAGGUCACCAGGGAGAGACCACUCCAGGCUGGCGCACUCAAGGUGGCUUCACACAGGGGUUUGAACUGUGCCUGGAAGACUGCUAGGAUCAAGCCAGGGAGGAAGGGGUGGGAGAGGGUGUUCCAGGCAAGGAAGGCUCAAGGCCAUGGCAAUUACUAGGGAAAAGUGGAAUGGAGGAAUUAUUUGAGACAGGAAUAAGAUGGAAGGAUGGAUGUAAAGGUUAGGUCUGAAGAGCAAACAGCCUUGAAUGCCAGGCGAAAAAUAUGAUAAAACAUGCCAUUUUCCCAUACCAGCCUCUUCGUGGGUAGAAGGGGGCAGGCAAGUGACUUUUAAAGGCCAUUCAAGCACUGAGAAUAAAUUUUUAGAAGUACUGAUGCCUUGCCCCACCUCAGAGACUGUCUUAAUUGGUCUCAGGUGAAACAUUGUUUUUUUUUUUUAAACUUCCCAGGUGACCCUAUUGUGCAUUUGGGAACCUCUUUCUAGAUGAAGGCAAUGGCGAGGCACGUCCCUGUAGCAGCCCAGCUCAGGGCCAGGUCUAUGCAGCAGGUGCCCAACACAUGUGGGUCAAAUUAAGUCAGCAAUAUUGGCUUGUACCAGAGCCAGCCUGAGGAGCCUCUGUUUUACUAGAGUCAGCUCUGUAACAUUCAGUUGGCCACAUGGUUUCCAAUAAAAGAAAUCAUUUCUGCCUGCCCUUGCCUAAUCCUGGAAAAGCCCAUGAUGCUCAAUGCAAUAUUGAGUCUGUUUAUAAAUUUGGGCAUUUAUAGAUUUUUCUCUCACGGUUAUUUUAUCGUGACCAUUUACAAGGCCUUACACAAUUUGCUCUCAGCCUUGUUACCUCUCUGAUCUUCUCUCCCACACACAACCCCGAUGACUCUACUUCUGCCACACUACACUAGCUUCUUUGUUGUUCCUUGAGCACAUUGGGCACGUCCCUGCCUCAAGGACUCCACACUGGCUCUUCAACUGCCUGGGGUGCUCUUCCUUUCUCUUCCUCCAGACAAGUGCAAUGCUCAAUAGCUCACACUAAAGUCUCUGCUCCAGCAUGGCUUUCUCAGCGAGGCCUCUCCUGAAUUGCAUGCUCUUCCCCACAGAGGCACCAUCCAUCCUUCCUACCCUGCUUAAUUUUUUUCCAUAGCACUUAUCACCUUCGAGUAUACUAUGUCAUUUACUUCUUGGUGUUUAUUUUCCAUUUGCCCUAGUAAAAUGUAAGCUGUAGGAGAGAAGGGAUUUUUGUCUGUUUUGUUCUCUGCUGCAUCCCCAGUGCCUUCAGUGGUGCCCAGCACAUAGAAGAAACUCAGGAAGCAUGUGUGUAUUGCAUCAGUACUUGCAAUGCUUUUACUCAUCCUUCAAGAAUAAGUUUCAACAAUUCCGUGGUCAACCCUUCUCUUUCUACUUUGUAAAGAAAGGAGUCCUCCCUCCUUUGUUCCCUUUGGCUUAUUCUGCAACUCUUCAGAGCUUUUCUCACACAUUAUUGACUUUUCUGUCUCUCUGACUAUUUCUGAGCCCCUCCAAGGCUGGGAGAGGGGCAGAGGACCUACCAUCUAGUGGAGGCUGAACAGGUAUGUGUGAAGGAAAUGAGCCAGGAUCAGCAACAGAAGCUUUGGACUAUCCUUUUCCUCACAAUUACACCUUCUGCAUUUGCACACCUACGGAGGUCUCCAUUUUAUUCUAACAUCUUGACUUGAGUGGUCUGAAAUGUGUCAUCACCACACAGGAGGUACAUGAGUUUCAAUGAGAAAAGCCUAAAAAGUCUGAUGCUUUUGAGAACCUAUUAGCUGUAUGGAUUAUCUUUCCCUUCCAAUGUCAAUCUACUUACCAAGUCCUGUGGAUGUUACUUCCUAUAUAUGCCUGAAUUGAUCAUUCACUUCUUUCCAUUCUCUCCAGCUCUCUAGUCUAAGCCACAGUUCUCUCUUAUGUGGAAUACGGCAACCACUUCCUAAGUGGUGUGUCUAUCUACUCUCUUCCCAUAGAAGCCAUCGUCUACACAGCAGCCAGAACAAGCUUUUAAAAACACAAAUCAGAUGAUGUUUCUCUCCUGCUGUUGAACCAUUCAAAGACUUCCCAUUGCACUUAGCGCAAAGUAUGAAAGACUUACCAUGGCUUACAGGGUGCCAGCAAUUUGCUCCCACUUCGCUCCUCAGCCUCAUCUUGGGCCACUCUCCACUUCAUUAUUACUGUGAUGGUUCAAAGGCUUUAGGUUUUCUUGCUUCACAACCUCUGCUGGCUCCUCUGCCUGGAAUGCCUCUGCCAGGAAUGCCCUCUCUUCACUUGGGUAACUUCCACUCACCCUCCCAAUCUCAGCUCAGAUACCCCCUUCUGAGAGAAACCUUGCCUAAAGUUCAGACCAGGGAUGCUGUCCUUCACAUGCCCCCAAAGUGCCCAGUUCAUUCUCUUUUUAUCACAGUCCUCCUACUUGAAUUACUUUUCUCACCAGACUUGAAGUGCCCCCACUAAAAUUCAAACUGCACAAGGGCAGCCACGUCCAUCUGUAUCCUCAGUAUCUAGGUCAGUGCCGAGUGCAUAGUAAAUGCUCAAUAAAUUUUUCUUGAAUGAAUGAAUGAGGACUAGGUUUGUCUGUCUUACUUAAUGUGUAUCCCUGGCCCCCAGCACAGUGCCUGGACAUAGGAGACACUCAACAAAUAUUUACUGAAUGAGUAAAUUGAUCUAUCUUGAGAUAUUUCCUUCUUAGCCUCUUUACCAAGACUUUCAACUUUGAAAAUUAAAUUGUUUUCUGAUCUACCCUCCUACCUUGAGGGGUUUACAUGUGAACAAUGACUGUAAGCUCCACCUUAGACUCCAGACCUGGGUCCCAUGCAUUCUAGCCACAGCUCCCUCAUCGGCGUGAUCUGAUUUGUAGGAGCAGCCCAGUCACAACUUCGGUGUUGGAAGAAAAGGUUUUUUUCACCUUUUUGCAUAAGAUUUUGGGUCAACAAGAACAUAGCUCUUAGCAGAGAUAUCUGGAACUGCAUCUCAUGCCAGCCAGGCCCUGCAAUUCUCAGCACUUCAAAUGAGUAGAGAAAAAAUUGUGCAAGCCACCUGUCUUGGGUGGUCAGAAGGAAAACACCACUGCCUGACAGCUGUGUGUGGGCCUUGGCCUCACUGCCUGGCUUCUCCAGGCUGGAAGGCUCUGAGAAGAGGUGCUGUUACACGUGCAGGGCCCUGGGGAGCAUGGCGAUGCUGCUGAGAGGCUGCUGUUUGUGCUGGCUGUGACCCUUGAGCCCCUGGCUGGGGAGAGGGGCCAGGCACAAUGACUUCUUUCAUGGAAAAACUUUACUCUGUAAACGAACUCAGGUUUACAUGCCUGCAUCCCUCUCCUCUUGGUAAAUCACAAGGCACGAGAAAAAGCUUGUGCCAUUUGGCUCUCAGUGACAUGAGUUUCUAGCAGAGAUGUCACGAGGAGUCCCCCUGACUGGGGCACUGCAGCUUGCUCACUCCCAAAGGCGAGUUUGUGACUAAAUACAGGGCAGACCAAACCUUAUGUAUAUAUUCUAUAAGACCGUCUAACAGGUUCUGGCCCUAAAUAAGACAUGCUGGUUAAAGCUACUGAACUGCUUUGCUUAAGCCACCUGUUUUGUUACUGGAGGCACAUGAGGUCAUCUGACAAAGAUCCAAGGCCUUUAUAAUACAGGUCUUCUCUUUCCUGAACUUCCUGAGGAAGAUCUUUACUCCUGUAAGUUAUGUUUGAUUUUUUCUUUUAGGCUUUUUUACCUCAUGGAGAAAGCCUAACCCAGUGACAGGACACAGGACUGAGUGCUACAGUGGGAAGAAUGUGGUCCUCUUCCGAAACAGGAGACGUGUGAUCCCUGCCAUAGACCUUGGGAUCUUUUCUACAUAAUAAGAUGAAUGGACCAGAUCAGUGGUCAGCAAACACUUUCUGUAAAGGGACAGAUAAGAAAUCUUUUAGGCUUGUGGGCUGUAGGGUUUCUGUCACAAGCACUCAGCUUUGUCAUUGUGGUAUGAAAGAAGCCAUAGACAAGACAUAGGUAAAUGAAUGGGUGUGGCUUCAUGUCAAUAAAACUUUAUUUACAAAAACAAGUGAUGAACUAGAUUUGGCCUAUGGGGCAUAGUUUGCCAAUCCUGGGAGACAUUAUCUCUUAAAAGCAUCUAUGUAACAAUUCUAGAACAUGAUUAUCAAAUUUGGGUAUCAGCUUGGUCUAGGAAAAUAUUUAAAACAUACGUGCCAUGUAUAUAUGUGCGUGUAUAGGUAUUCAUAUGCCCUCAUAUAUACAUAAAAAUACACACACACACUCACAUAUAUAUGUCUGUCCAUUUCUGACCAAGAUGGAGUAAGAGAGACUGAAUUUACCCUCUUGCCUAAACAAUAAAAAAAUGAACAAAAUAUAUGAAGCAAGAGUUUUCAAGACAUUGGACAUUAGGCAGUGAAGGACACUGAUCCCUGAAGAGUGGAAAACUAAACGAGGUGAGCCCUGUGCUGCCCCAGCUUAGUGCCUUGAGAGAGUUUCCAGGCUGCAGCAUAGGGAAACCCAGGUGGAGCCCAGCGGACUCCCUGAAUUUAGAAGAGGAAGCUGAAAGUACAGGGAGACCAACAAAGCAGCUAGAGUUCACAGAACAGAGUACCAGAAAGGAGAGAAUGUGGGGCAUAAUGGUUAAGUUCACGGGCUGUUUUGGGGGCCUGGGGUUUGCGGGUU
Molecule: long non-coding RNA, 7583 nt
Organism: Equus caballus (horse)
Lineage: Eukaryota; Metazoa; Chordata; Mammalia; Perissodactyla; Equidae
Source: RefSeq, a predicted model, not a curated record